UCAAGCAAUUCUCCUGCCUCAGCCUCCUGAGUAGCUGGGACUACAGGCGCCUGCCACCAUGCUCUGCUAAUUUUUGUAUUUUUAGUAGAGACAGGGUUUCACCAUGUUGGCAAGGCUGGUCUUGAACUCCUGACCUCAGGUGAUCUGCCUGCCUUUGGCUUCCCAAAGUGCUGGGAUCCAAAAUAGUUUUAAUUAACUUUGACUGAGGAAUAGAUAUCACCUAGUUGGUUUUUUUUUUUUUUUUGGAAGGAAAAAAGUGAUACCAAAAUAUCUUAACACUUAUAAGGAGUCAAAAGUCCAAAACCAUUUAGAAAUUAAUUGAUUUUUUAAAAGCCUUAAGUGGCUGAGUGCGGUGGCUCAUGCCUUUAAUCCCAGCCCUUUGGGAGACUGAGGUGGGCAGAUCACCGGAGGUCAGGUGUUCCAGACCAGCCUGUCUAACAUGGCAAAACCCUGUCUCUACUAAAAAAUACAAAAAUUAGCCCGGUGUGGUAGAGCACAACUGUAGUCCCAGCUACUCAGGAGGUGCACGCCAACAUGUCCGGUGGAAGGAUGGCUUGAGCCUAGGAAUUUGAUGCUGCAGCAAGCUGUGAUACUGUGCCACUGUACUCCAGCUGGGGUACAGAGAGACACUACCUCUAAAUAAAUAACCUUAAGUGUUUUUUCCAAAGAUAUUGCUUAUGACUUUCAAAAGAGAUAUACAGAGUGGUGGCUGCAGUGGCUCAAGCCUAUAAUCCUAGCACCUUAGAAGGCUGAGGCAGGUGAUCACUUGAAGUCCAGAGUUUGAGGCCAGCCUGGCCAACAUGGUAAAACCCCAUCUCUACUAAAAAUACAAAAAUUAGCCAGGUGUGGUGGUAGGCGCCUGUAAUCCCAGCUACUUGGGAGGCUGAGGCUGGAGAAUCUCUUGAACCCAGGAGGCGGAGGCUGCACUGAGCAGAGAUCGUACCACUGUACUCCAGCCUGGGUAACGUAGUGAGACUCUGACUCAAAAAAGGGGUAUAGUCACUUAAAUUUGUGUAGAUCAGGCACUAUUAGCACAGUUUUCCAGAUAGUACUGAUUACUUAAACAUGUCAAAAUAAUUAUUACUAGUAGUUGAGUCCUUACUUUUCUAAGCACUUUAUAUUUAUUUAGUCCUCUCAAAUACAAGGUAGAUUCUAUCAUAUUCCCCAUUUUAUAGGGGGGAACUGAAGUAUAGAGAUUAUGCAACUUCCAAGCAGCUGGGCCUCAAAGAUUAAGAUGCUCUAGAAAUCAUGAUUUGUAAAAUGAAUAAGAAGUUUGGCAAGUCAGAGACCCACAGGCCAUAUCUCUUUUCCUCCUCCUGCUACUUUUACUCCAAGUAACUCAGAUAAUUAUUCCUGAAAAUCUUUCUUCACACCCUGAUAAAAAUCCCCAGUUUAGAUGGAAUUCAUAGCCCAAUAUCCCUUUCUCCCUCCCUGUACCACCUCAGCACUGAAGCAAGAUUAAUUAAACAUCUUUUUUUUUUCUUGAGUCUUACUCUGUAGCCCAGGCUGGUGCAGUGGUGUGAUCCUGGCUCACUGCAGCCUCAACCUCCUGGCCUCAAGCAAUCUUCCCACCUCAGGAUGAGUAGCCGUCACUACAGGCAGCACCACCAUGCCCGACUAAUUUUUGUAUUUUUUUGUAGAGAUGGGAUUUUGCUCUAUUGCCCAGGUUGGUCAAAAAUCAUUUUCAGUUCCUGUAUCAGGGAACUUUUUAAAAAAAUUAGUGAUUUUUUCCUCCUUACCAUGUUAAUUUUCUGCAACUCAAACAAAGGCUGAAGUAUCCUUUUAGAUUCUACUAAGCUUGCACAUUUGCCCAAAAAAAGUGUGGGUGGAGCUGUUUAUAGUCAUUCCAGGUUCCUCUCCAGGUUUGCUGGUCAUUUGACAACCUAAGCAACCAUGUUUUUACUAGUUGUAGGUGUGUAGCUGCAGGAGCAGCAGCAGAAAAAUUCUAUAUCCUGAACAAAUUCUGUCAACUGAACCCCAUUUCUCUCAAUUUAACCAAAUGAUAUUGUUACUGUUCCUGAAAAUAUUAAUUAAGACUUGAAAUAAUCUGCCCUUCAAAAGCUGGUAGGUAAAAAUCCAAAAACUUGGCAGCACUCUAAUCCAUCAGCAAUGCUGGGGUGAAAACAUUUAGUACAUAGAGGGCAAAUUAAAAAUACAUAUAUGCCUUUUUGCAGAGCAAUUCCACCUGUGGAAACUGAGAUGAGACAUAUUUAAAUAUACAAGGAAAGAUGUACAUCCAAGGAUAAUCAUUCAAGCACUAGAGUACAAAAGAAACUCAAUGUCCCUAAACUGGGUGAUAACCAAAUAAUGUGCAGUGGUUAAGAAAAAAUGUCGCCUUUUUGCACUGAGAUGGAAAAGCCAUCUCAAGUCCAAUGUGCAGAAGGGUUUGUACGGUAUUUUCUCCUACAUAAAAAUGGGGGAGGGGGAAUAAGAACAUUUAUUCUCACAUAUGUAUGUAUGAAAAAAUGUGUAUGUGGAAAAAUAUACAAGAGGCUGGGCACUGUGAUUCAUGCCUGUAACUCCACUUUGGGAGGCCGAGGCAAGCGAUCACCUGAGGUCAGGAGUUCAAGACCAGCCUGGCCAACAUGGUGAAACCCCGUCUCUACUAAAAAUAUAAAAAUUAGCCGGGCGUGGUAGCACGCGCCUGUAGUCCCAGCUACAUGGGAGGCUGAGGCAGGAGAAUUGCUUGAACUCGGGAGACGGAGGUUGCAGUGACCCAAUAUCACGCCACUGCACCCCAGCCUGGGCGACAGAUCGAGACUAUGUCUCAAAAAAAAAAAAAAAAAAAAAAAAGAAAGAAAGAAUAUGCAAGAAACAAAAAGUAGAGGUUACUUCAGUAGUGAUAACUGGAUGGGUGGAAGUGAUGAUUAAAAAAUUUUUUUUGAACCAGUGAAUGCCUUAUCUAUUCAAAUAAUUUUUAAAAAUUGGCUAGAAGCUCUAAUCAACCAACCAACAACUAUUAAAUGCCUGCUUGUCUUAAAAUAGAGUCUACAGGCUAGGUAGCCCAAAUGCAACCUUAACUCUGAGAUACAAAAUAUAAGGUUGAAUGAGUGGCUGUGCCUAAACAAUUUCUGGAAAUCAAAGUUCUUGGUGCCUCUGGGGAAUUCUGAUAUCAGUGACUUGGCCAAAGAAUUUCACUUGCUUACUGGUGGUCUUCUCUAGAACUCACGAGCAGGGAGACAAAUGGAGAUAGGGUGAGAUGCUCACCCAACAAAGUGAAAAAUUUUCAGCAGUGUGUCUGCCAAAAAUCCACACAUUAUUCAUCUGCAAACCUAAAAACAGGUAGGAAGGAACCAGUAAUUGUUUUAUGGUACAGAAUUUUUAAAAAAUUUUCUUUAAUGUUAUAAUGCUAUUUGUAUGGUAAAUGAGUUUAAUAAAUCUGAUAAGAAAAAGUCUUCCUCAUUGAUUACAGUAGUUUAUACAUUUUAAGGAGAUACUGAUGCUUUUCAAAAGGCAUGUGUUCAUCACCAGGAUAAGUUAUCUUUCAUUCCAAGUAUUAAUGACCUUUGAUUGGCAAAACCAUAUUGAUCUUUUCUCUUAGAAUUUCAGGUGACUAAAACUGCACUGUAAACACAGUGAACAAAAUUAAAUAACACUGCAGUGUUUCCCAAUGUGCAGGAUCCAUACCACUGGUGAUAAUCAACAUAGGCAGUACAUGAACAAAGCAGUAAAUAACAUUGAAUCACACAGCAAGAAAGUUAUUCCUGUUUACAGGCCAGGCGUGGUGGCUAAUGUCUGUAAUCCCAACACUUUGGGAGGUCAAGGUGGGUGUCUCGCUUGAGCUCAGGAGUUCAAGACUAGCCUGGGCAACAUGGCAAAACCCCAUCUCUACCAGAAAUACACAGAAUUAGCCAGGCAUGGUGGCUGCGCUUGUAGUUCUAGCUGCUAAGGAGGCUGAGGUGGGAGAAUCACCUGAGCAUGGGAAAUCCAGGCUGCAGUGAGCUGAGAUCUUGCCACUGCACGCCAGCUUGGGCAACAGAGUAAGACCGUGUCUCAGAGAAAAAAAAAGCUAUUCUUCAUUCAAGCCUUGAGAUUCGAAGUGCUUGGUUGGCAAGAGUAUCUAGAUAGAAUUUAAUAACUGGUUUGUUUUCAUUAUACUAAUUUUUACAUUUACUAUCUUGACUUUUUCCCCCCUUAUUGACAGGCGUUUACAUUUGUCUGGAUUACCCACAUUCACAGACGCGUUAAGACAGGAGUGCAGGUGCUGCUAUGUUAUGGGAACCCCUUAGUCAAAAAACACAAAAAUCCAAUGGUCUUUUCCCAGGGCUUAUCUUUACUUGAGCUAAAUUCUCCCCAUGGUCUUCUGUAACACACACUUAGCCUCUCCAGGAAUGGUGUAGUACACAGAAUAAACUGGAGUCAAGCUGGUUUUGAAUGCUGGUUCUUUUUACUGCUUUUUGAGUCUACAAAGCCAGUCUAUCAAGUGAGGCUAAAAUUGGCUACCUUGGAAAUGGAAAGGAAUAAAUGAGAUAGUAAAUGUAGAGCAGCUGCCAUACAGUUUAACAGAUGCUCAAUAAAUGCUGAUUUGCUUUCCUCCUUCGCUUCUCCUUCUCUGUCCUUCAGUACUUUUCUCAAUAUUCUCUCUCACUGGUUUCCUUCACUCUCAUGGCUUUAUUACCCUUCUAUGGAUGGGUAACUUCUAAUUUUCUAUCACCAAUUCUGACCUUUUUUCAGAGUACCAAACCUUAGCUUUUGUGUGUUUAAUAAUUCUACCUUGAUAUUCUGGCAUCAUCUUAAACUCAAUCCAUACAAAAUUUCUCUUUCUACAAAAAACUUGAAGGCAGUGGGGGUAAGGUGAGAGAGUCACAGGAGUUGGAGUGAGGAGCCACAAGUUCUUUUUUUUUGUCCACAUCAUGGGAUUUUUUUUUAUAAGUUCACUGGUUUUUAGUCUAUGUUCUAUCUACUCUAAUCACCUGAACAUGUUUCCUAGCUUAAUUUCAUGUUUUUCGUCUGUGAUGGAGUGAUAAAAUGAACAUUUUCUGUUUAUAACUUUUUGCAAGCUUAAAAAAUGCCAUAUAAAAUUGCUAUUGACAUCUGAUUCAACAUGGUGGGAUGAGGGAAGGAGUUAAGGAUGAGAUUUUGAGCCUGAGUUCUGCAGUGUCUUUUGCACCUGUCUCGCCUUUCCUUCACCAUUGUCAUUCCCCAGAAUUCAGGCCUACCUUAUCUUUCACAUUUGUGAUGCAUUUACAGAAAAAUUGGCUCAGUCAGGGAAGUAAUAGUUGGUAGUGUGUAUCCAGCAUUGCUCACGAGUUUUAAAAAUAACCAUGAAAUAUAUAAUAUACAUACUGAAAGUACAUUUUUCUCCAAAAAACCUACUUCUCAUUAAGUCAUAGAGUGCUAACACUCAUGUAAUCCCAGUGUCUUAGAAUGUUCGGCUUAUUUGGCUCACGGUUUUGCAGGCUGUACAAGAAGCAUGGUAGCAGUAUCUGCUUCCAGUGAGGGCUUCAGGCUGCUCACGGUGGAAGGCAGACAGGAGAUGACAUAUGCAGAGAUCACAUGGCGAGAGAAAGGAGAGAGGAGGUGCCAGUCUCUUAAUGAACUCACUCCUUACAGAAUACGAAGCCACUCAUGAGAAAUCCACUCCCACAACCCUUCCCACCAGGCCUCACCUCCAACACUGGGGAUGAAAUUUUAACAUGAGACUUGGUAGGGUCAGACAAACCAAACUCAAGCCAUAGCACCCUACUUAGGAACAGAACAUCAACAGCACUCCAGAAGCACCUAUUACCUCCCAAGCACUACUCCCUGCAAAGCUAACUAUUUCUUUUCUUUAUACUUUUACUACCUAAACAUAUAUCCCUAAAUCUAGAUUGGUUUGCCUGUUUGUUGAACUUCCCAUUUUCCAAAGUGGUUAUACCAAUAUACAUUUCCAGCAGCUGUGUAGUUUCAGUUACUCCAACUCUUGACCAACAUCUGGCAUUUUCUGGGUUUUCCAUUUUAGCCAUUCUGUUGGAUGUGAGAUUAAAAUAUCAUUUAGGUUUUAAUUUGCAUUUCUCUAAUGAUUAAAUUAGUUGAGUAUCUUUUACAUGUUUAUCGGCCAUCUACACGCCCCUUUUAUAUUUUUUAAGAAACUAAUAUUUAGAUACCCUUUUUUGUGAGGUGACUGUUUAAGUUUCUACCUUUUUUUUUUUUUUUUUUUUUGAGAUGGAGUCUUGCUUUGUCGCCCAGGCUGGAGUGCAGUGGCACGAUCUUGGCUCACUGCAACUUCUGCCUCCUGGGUUCAAGCAAUUCUCC
This 6234-nucleotide long non-coding RNA is filed under the name Homo sapiens (human). RNAcentral describes it as "HSALNT0381299". Lineage: Eukaryota; Metazoa; Chordata; Mammalia; Primates; Hominidae. The record is from RNAcentral.